Molecule: ribosomal RNA, 744 nt
Filed under: uncultured bacterium
Lineage: Bacteria
Description: bacterial SSU rRNA
Rfam family: Bacterial small subunit ribosomal RNA
Source: RNAcentral
GUCGAACGGAGAUUAUACGCAGAGGCGAUUUCGGUCAAAUCAUGUGUAAUCUUAGUGGCGGACGGGUGAGUAACGCGUGGGUAACCUGCCUUACACUGGGGGAUAACACUUAGAAAUAGGUGCUAAUACCGCAUAAGCGCACGAAGCCGCAUGGAUUUGUGUGAAAAACUCCGGUGGUGUAAGAUGGACCCGCGUCUGAUUAGCUUGUUGGCGGGGUAACGGCCCACCAAGGCGACGAUCAGUAGCCGGCCUGAGAGGGUGGACGGCCACAUUGGGACUGAGACACGGCCCAAACUCCUACGGGAGGCAGCAGUGGGGGAUAUUGGACAAUGGGGGGAACCCUGAUCCAGCGACGCCGCGUGAGUGAAGAAGUAUUUCGGUAUGUAAAGCUCUGUCAGCAGGGAAGAAAGAAAUGACGGUACCUGACCAAGAAGCCCCGGCUAACUACGUGCCAGCAGCCGCGGUAAUACGUAGGGGGCAAGCGUUAUCCGGAAUUACUGGGUGUAAAGGGAGCGUAGACGGUUAAGUAAGUCUGGAGUGAAAGGCCGGGGCCCAACCCCGGGACUGCUCUGGAAACUAUUCAACUUGAGUGCAGGAGAGGUAAGCGGAAUUCCUAGUGUAGCGGUGAAAUGCGUAGAUAUUAGGAGGAACACCAGUGGCGAAGGCGGCUUACUGGACUGUAACUGACGUUGAGGCUCGAAAGCGUGGGGAGCAAACAGGAUUAGAUACCCUGGUAGUCCACGC